UGGGGAAUCUUGCCCAAUGGGCGAAAGCCUGAGGCAGCGACGCCGCGUGAGGGAAGAAGGCCUUCGGGUUGUAAACCUCUUUCAGGAGGGACGAAGCCACUCGGGUUAAUAGCCCAGAGGGUGACGGUACUUCCAGAAGAAGCCCCGGCUAACUACGUGCCAGCAGCCGCGGUAAUACGUAGGGGGCAAGCGUUGUCCGGAUUUACUGGGCGUAAAGAGCGUGUAGGCGGCCAGACAGGUCUGUUGUGAAAACUGGAGGCUUAACCUCCAGACGUCGACAGAAACCGUUUGGCUAGAGUCCGGAAGAGGAGAGUGGAAUUCCUGGUGUAGCGGUGAAAUGCGCAGAUAUCAGGAAGAACACCAAUGGCGAAGGCAGCUCUCUGGGACGGUACUGACGCUGAGACGCGAAAGCGUGGGGAGCGAACAGG
RNAcentral lists this ribosomal RNA (428 nucleotides) under uncultured bacterium. RNAcentral describes it as "bacterial SSU rRNA". It matches the Rfam family "Bacterial small subunit ribosomal RNA", at positions 355 to 776 of the family's 1533-position model. The record is from RNAcentral.